GAUGAACGCUAGCGGCAGGCUUUAACACAUGCAAGUCGAGGGGGUAUAGUUCUUCGGAGCUAGAGACCGGCGCACGGGUGCGUAACGCGUAUGCAAUCUACCUUUUACAGAGGGAUAGCCCAGAGAAAUUUGGAUUAAUACCUCAUGGUAUAUAUCAUUCGCAUGUUUGAUAUAUUAAAGUUCCAACGGUAAAAGAUGGGUCUGCGUCUGAUUAGCUAGUUGGCGGGGUAACGGCCCACCAAGGCGACGAUCAGUAGCCGGUCUGAGAGGAUGAACGGCCACAUUGGGACUGAGACACGGCCCAGACUCCUACGGGAGGCAGCAGUGGGGAAUUUUCCGCAAUGGGCGAAAGCCUGACGGAGCAAUACCGCGUGAGGGAAGAAUGCCUAUGGGUUGUAAACCUCUUUUUCCAGGGAGGAAUCAAAUGACGUGUACCUGAAGAAUAAGCAUCGGCUAACUCCGUG
RNAcentral lists this ribosomal RNA (464 nucleotides) under uncultured bacterium. RNAcentral's name for it is "bacterial SSU rRNA". It matches the Rfam family "Bacterial small subunit ribosomal RNA", at positions 28 to 507 of the family's 1533-position model. The record is from RNAcentral.